GAUUCUGCUUCUCGGUUAGUUGAGAAAAAUAUAGCAAAGUCUCUUUGUAUAGAUGAGAAACCAAUGCAUCAAACCAAGAUUUUAAACUGCCUCAAAAACUUUGUCAUGCAUCUUAAGGUGGAGCGUCACGAGCAGGCUCGAGGGACGGCGGUGACUUGUUUUAACUGUCGAAGCAUUGAUGCUUAUUAGGCCUCCUUGAUAGCAACAGCCUCCUUGACCUCGGUGGCUUCACUGCCCGUUUCCUUGGCAGGUUCACUUCUUCUGGGACAGUAAAAGUUGAUAGAGGGAAAGUCCUGGACAGUGUGGUUGGUGUCUUGAAUGUGAUCUUCCCUCCGUCCUCUGUGAAAACCUUUUACUCUUUGUCUUUGCUGUGUUCUGCUCUGGUUCAGUGAUCUCAGUUUUCUUUUUUUCUUACAGAGCAAGACAGAGACCAUGAAUGGUAAUUCAAGGAGAGAAUCAGAAACUGAGUCUUCAUCAAGCCUUGAGUCUUGAGACCCUCCUAGCAGAUCAUCUGCUUUUGAUAGAUUUCCUAGCAGAUCAUCUGCUUUUGAUAGCUUACGAAGAUAGAAGAGGAGGGUCUGGUUACAGAAAAAAUGAAAUUACUCGAAAAACGGUAAUGAAGCUGCACAUGAAGAGUUGAUGAGAUUCUUCCGAGCAUCUCACCGUUGCGGAGAUUAUUGCAUGGCUUAACAACGGCAGCAGUGAAGAUGGCGGUUCUUGGUUGGCCGCCUUCACUGAGAUUUCAUCAAGAGAUAUAAACGUUUCUUUGAUCUUGUUGCAGAGAUGGUGGAUUGCAUUUAUGAAAUUAGCCUCUGGACCCAAGUCCUUCAGCUCCAGCAUCCGAUGAAAAGCUUUUCAGAACGUCUGGAUCUUAUAUUCUCGGCUUCCACCACCGUAUACAAUCAUUUGUUGUUACACACCAGAAUGGAGCUUCGUUGGCAGAGCAAUUGAAGAAGGGUGUUGUUCUCCCUAGAGGUCAGACACAUGGUCUAUCUACACU
Long non-coding RNA from Raphanus sativus (radish), 1000 nucleotides. RefSeq lists it as uncharacterized. NCBI's taxonomy places the organism in Eukaryota, Viridiplantae, Streptophyta, Magnoliopsida, Brassicales, Brassicaceae. The record is from RefSeq and is a predicted model, not a curated record. The transcript is spliced from 4 exons.